Molecule: ribosomal RNA, 460 nt
Filed under: uncultured bacterium
Lineage: Bacteria
Description: partial 16S ribosomal RNA
Rfam family: Bacterial small subunit ribosomal RNA
Source: RNAcentral
CCUACGGGUGGCAGCAGUGAGGAAUAUUGGUCAAUGGACGCGAGUCUGAACCAGUCAAGCCGCGUGCAGGAAGACGGCUCUAUGGGUUGUAAACUUCUUUUGUACGGGAAUAAACCCAGGUACGCGUAUCUGUCUGAAAGUACCUUACGAAUAAGGAUCGGCUAACUCCGUGCCAGCAGCCGCGGUAAUACGGAGGAUUCGAGCGUUAUCCGGAUUUAUUGGGUUUAAAGGGUGCGUAGGCGGUCGGUUAAGUUAGAGGUGAAAGCCCGAGGCUCAACUGCGGAAUUGCCUUUGAUACUGUCAGUCUAGAGAGUAGUUGAGGUAGGCGGAAUGCGUGGUGUAGCGGUGAAAUGCUUAGAGAUCACGCAGAACACCGAUUGCGAAGGCAGCUUACCAAGCUAAUACUGACGUUGAGGCACGAAAGCGUGGGUAUCAAACAGGAUUAGAUACCCGUGUAGUC